RNAcentral lists this transfer RNA (88 nucleotides) under Klebsiella pneumoniae. RNAcentral's name for it is "tRNA-Leu". It matches the Rfam family "tRNA". From Rfam's summary of the family: Transfer RNA (tRNA) molecules are approximately 80 nucleotides in length. Their secondary structure includes four short double-helical elements and three loops (D, anti-codon, and T loops). Lineage: Bacteria; Pseudomonadati; Pseudomonadota; Gammaproteobacteria; Enterobacterales; Enterobacteriaceae. The record is from RNAcentral.
GCCCGGAUGGUGGAAUCGGUAGACAUCAAGGGAUUUAAAAUCCCUCGGCGUUCGCGCUGUGCGGGUUCAAGUCCCGCUCCGGGUACCA